GGGCGUAGUUCAAUGGUAGAACGGCGGUCUCCAAAACCGUUAAUGCGGGUUCGACUCCUGCCGCCC
Molecule: transfer RNA, 66 nt
Filed under: bovine gut metagenome
Rfam family: tRNA
About the family: Transfer RNA (tRNA) molecules are approximately 80 nucleotides in length. Their secondary structure includes four short double-helical elements and three loops (D, anti-codon, and T loops).
Source: RNAcentral